Solenopsis invicta (red fire ant) is the source of this 4504-nucleotide RNA transcript. It is a transcript of the gene named HEAT repeat-containing protein 6, with no coding region annotated. Lineage: Eukaryota; Metazoa; Arthropoda; Insecta; Hymenoptera; Formicidae. The transcript is spliced from 13 exons. The record is from RefSeq and is a predicted model, not a curated record.
GGUCGAUCGGUUAGGGAGCACGGUGAAAGAUUACGGCGCAUUUCAACUCGUAUCCUCGUCGUCUUACGAGAUUUUGACGCGAGUGAGUGUUUCGAGGGAACCGAAAGUGAAGUGAAAUGUCGAGCGUUCGUGUCAACAUCUGUCGUCAGUUGGAUACGAUGCAUGGUGCGAAGUUGUGUCGCGUUCAAUCGUGUAGGUUUCGCAUCUUCUCCGUUGCCUCGUAUUCCGAGUUUCAAACGCGUGUGAGUACCAAGAGUGUUUAGAGAGUGCCGAAAACGAAGGAUCGUGCGUUUGCCAAGUGUGAAUCAAGAGGAGGAUCGUCGUGAGAAAGAUCUUAAAUCUCGAGCGUACGUUCGAGAACUGAGACCGAGACGGAGCUGAACAAAUUGCGAUCAGCGACGAACGAAGAGUCAAUUUGUACUUGUAUUUGUCCCUACAAUUCGGUAUUCGCGCCUUGUCCCCAUUAAAUUUGCAUAAUUACAUUGUACAGUGCGACGAGACGAAUAAAUCGGUCGAAAGUUAGGAACGAUUUGAAAUUGACAUGGCGCACUCGGCGCUUUCUUCGCCAGGUGUACCAACAGUUGGGCGACGUGCUUUCCGAGGUCACAAGGUUCCUUUCCUAAUAUGUAUAUACGUCGUUUUAUAACUUAUUAAAAUCAUACAAUAUCAUGUGUGCAAUGUACAUAUGCAAAUUACAAAUUAGUUGUUGAAGUUAUUUACGCGGAUCUAGCUAACAAUUAAAAUUAUGUAAUACGCAUGUAAAUGCGAUCAUGGCCUCGUUACAUAUAAAUCGCACAGUUAGUGACACCACAUCACAAUUUUUUUCGUUAAUCGAGAGAUUACUUUCGUUAACUAGUACAAAACUCAGCGAUAAAAAACAGAUCGAUGCAUACUUGAACGAUCUCAAUGAACUGGAUUACCGAUACCUCGAUAUUGUAAAUAACGAUGCGGUAUUAUUAUUAGUUAAUCAACUCUGCGUAGCUGUUUUACCUAAAGAAACGUCUUUAGUUCGAAAUGUUUGUAAAUUUUUAUAUAAUUUAACUCAAAGCAAUAUCAAACUCCAUGGCCGAACAUUUGUGACUUGCAAACGAUGGAUUUUAGAAGCACUGGAAUUUUCUGAACCACUGGCACAAGUUGAUGUGUUAAUUGCCAUAAAAAGCUUUUUACAUUUUGGAUAUUUUAAUGAUAUCAAUCAUCAUGUACGUCUGUUACUCAGAGAUAAGGGUUUGUUAAUGAAGCAUUUAAAUCCACUAUGUAAUCCAUGGUCUGAAAUCAACUUCCAUGCCCUUGGCUGUUUAGAAGAAAUUGUGAUAAACAGAAGUAACAGUUAUUGUUUAGCAGAAGAAUUUACAUGUUUGAUAAAAGAUAUAAUUUUUAAGAUUUUAUCACUUUUACCAUACGACAAUGAUGAUAAGCUUUACUACAGUAAGGUCAUAAAUUCAUGUCUGCACAUUUUGCACUACAUGAUCUUGGAAAAAUUGAUUCCUAGCUCUCCCGAUUUUGUCGGGGAGAUAUUAGGAGUGGUGCAAACGUUCUUAUUUUAUGGCAUCAAAGGUUAUUCAGUCACGAGGCCGCAAUUACUUCGUCCAGCUGCAAUGAAUCUCCCAGAACGUGUUCAUGUAAUUCCUAAAUGCAAAAAUCUUAAAAAUCACAAAGCAAAACCCAAGAAAACACCGACCAAGAAAACUACGUUGGACGUAGGAAAUAAUACUCUUCCAGAACAUACUGGAAUUACCAAAUAUUCCAGUGAUUCGGAUACUUCGGACACGGAGAUUAACAAUUUUGUCCACAUGGACUCCAAAGUGAGAUUGGGAGCCAUACGUUUAUUGCAAACUCUUAUAGAAAUCACACAGAGUAGAGAGAUUUUUGGGUACUGGCCACAAAUCGUAGCUACCGGCACGCGGAACGACGCACGAGUAUUGACAAGAAGUAUAUUAGUUGAGCCUGUAUCUAAAGUACGACAGAAUGUAUUGAGUACGUUAACUGAACUGCUGAUAGGGGCAAAACCAUUUCUGAUACAUGCCGAAGAUACCAAUCAUACCUCUUUCAUCACGUUCUUUGGUACAGUAUGUUUAAUGGUCAAAGAACUCCAUUUUACGCUAUCAUUAAUUUUGCUCGCUGAAAAGAAUGUAGCUGUGUUAACGCACACGUUAAAAUGCACGGCAGCUCUUGUACAAGGUACACCAUACGAACGAUUGAAACCCGGUUUGGCUACAAAAUUAGUUAGGAAUUGUAAACCGCACAUAUUUCACAAAGAUCCAACUGUGCGAGUUGCGGCGUUGUCCAUUUUCGAAGCAUUUGCUUCGAGCGAGCCUAUUACUCAGGAAAUAUUAAGCAUAUUAGCUAAGCAAACAGUGGGCGAAACGGGAUCGGGAAGGUCACAGCUCGAUACCGGUUCCAUUAAUGACGUUGGAACAGAAGAGGAAGAAAUAGAUGUCGAAGAUGUGGAAAAUUCGAGAAAUAACUGCAAUGAAAUCACAUCAAUAUCAAAAGAUGAAAACAUCUGUUUGCUAGUUCGCAUUUGCUUAGAAAAUAUAUCCAAUAAGUCAGUUAAUACACCUGUACGAUUGCAGUCUUUAAAACUCAUGGGGAGACUGGCAUUCAAUACAGGAACUCUCGUGUUUUCUCAUUUGGAGAAAGUGACCACGGCUUUAAUUUCGGUUAUGGAGGAGUCGGAAAGUCAAGUGGUAUUGCACUCGUGUCGGGUUUUAGAAAUUAUGUCUAGCUGUCUCGCAAACAUAGAGACUUAUCAUAGCAGUGGUACAUUAUUUUGGAACAUUAUAUUUGAAUCUAUGAUAUCACUCGCCCAAACAUCGCAGACGAUAUUACGAGAGGCUGCUUGCGAUUGUCUAGGUAGCAUCAGUGGAAACGUAUUCACGCAAUUAUCGAGGCAAAGAAUUAUACUAAUAAUUACAAUACUGUUUGGAGCAGUUCGCGAUGAAGAGAGUGCUGUGAGGGCAGCCGGUUUACGCGCACUGGGGAUGUUGGUAACUUUACCAGCGUUAGAAUACGAUACCGGUUUCCUCAUGGAUCUUGCUGAUACAGUUUGUUCAGCUUUUGACGACAAGAAUCUCGGUGUUCGUGUAAAGAGUGCUUGGGCAUUGGCAAAUCUGUGCGACUGUCUUUCCAGGCAAAAGCAGCAUGAAGACGUAGAACCAUUUCCUUUAGAAGAUUUGUUACCCAAACUGUAUCUUGUUAGUGUCAAGGCUGCAAAAGAUAAUGAUAAAGUGAAGUGCAACGCCGUCAGAGCAAUUGGAACUAUUUUAUAUCUAUGUCCACAAAAGUCCAUACUUUCCGACACGACAUUAGGAUUGGACGCGCUUAUCAAAUGUGCCAUUUUAGGAAACGAUAUGAAAGUACGGUGGAACGCAUGCCGAGCUUUAGGAUUGGUUUUGAGCCAUAAUCCAGAUUCGAUAUUGCCACCUUCUUGGAAAGAUCAAAUAUUUCCGGCGCUUUCCACCUUGAUAUGUGAUAGUCCUAAUUUCAAAGUGCGCACCAAUGCCGCAUGGGCAUUGUCUUCGUGUAACCAUUACGGCAAGUACACUGUAAUGUUGUGGAAAAGUAUCGUUUUAGCAUUUGAAAAUGCUCAACACGUCCCAAGCUAUGUUGAAUAUCCGCAUCGAGACGCACUAAUUCAGCAAUUGUGCCUUACUCUUGGUCGCGUCGCUACUUGUACAGAAAAAUCCGAAUUGCAAAGUCUUUGGAUCGAAAUUGGCGAUCAUGUGGAAGAAAUAUCUAAUUUCGUGAAGCAAUUUCAGGAGAAUGUUUUGCCUGAAAAGCUAGGAGAUUUAAUUAAGGCAAAAGCACAGUUGGAACAACAUGUAAAAAACGCUUGUUCUGUCGAGGAACGACAAAUCGCCCAAUCUUUGGCAAAUAUAUUUGAGAGAACUAAUCGUUACGACAAUCUAGAUGCUAUUAACUCUACAAUAUAGAUUUGUGCAACUAAAACAAUGAAAAAUAAAAUAACGCAGCAUAUUCUCCAAUAUGCAUAUUCCUGCCAGCUAUUUACUGUAAUUUACAAUUUCUGCCAACGAAGAUGUUGAUAACGGACAUAUUUUAAAAAAUAUGCCUGUACACGUGAAACUCUCCGCUGCCUGCUCCAGCGCUGCUCCCCAUAACGUUGCGAACAAAUUCCGGUACGGAAGGUGUGUUCUUGACUUUUGGACGUUCUGGUAAUAUAAUCGGUUUGUCCUGCACAAUUAAAACAAAGCGAAUUAAUACAAUUUGGAUCCAACAAUACUUGUAUCUGUUUCUAUCAAUGUAGAUGAACUCGAUUUAAUUUACUUGCUACCGUUCUCUUAAUUCUAAGAGUUAGAAAAAGAUAAUGAGUAAGUUAAAUCGAGAUUAAAAUUAACCUACGUUAGUAAAAAUUAGAGCCGUUUAUUUAGCACAUACAUGGGUACAUGCAUUACACAUAUUGUUAACAUUUACGUGUAUACAGGUUGUAUGAGCAUGUAUUUAGAAUACAAAUAAGUUAAUAAAGAUUGUGCUGCAAAAAAAAAAA